GUGCCAGCAGCCGCGGUAAUACGAAGGGGGCUAGCGUUGCUCGGAAUCACUGGGCGUAAAGGGCGCGUAGGCGGCCGAUCAAGUCAGGGGUGAAAGCCUGUGGCUCAACCACAGAAUUGCCUUUGAUACUGUUCGGCUCGAGACCGGAAGAGGUUGGUGGAACUGCGAGUGUAGAGGUGAAAUUCGUAGAUAUUCGCAAGAACACCAGUGGCGAAGGCGGCCAACUGGUCCGGUUCUGACGCUGAGGCGCGAAAGCGUGGGGAGCAAACAGGAUUAGAUACCCUGGUAGUCC
RNAcentral lists this ribosomal RNA (292 nucleotides) under uncultured microorganism. RNAcentral describes it as "partial 16S ribosomal RNA". It matches the Rfam family "Bacterial small subunit ribosomal RNA", at positions 505 to 796 of the family's 1533-position model. The record is from RNAcentral.